RNAcentral lists this long non-coding RNA (1541 nucleotides) under Acyrthosiphon pisum (pea aphid). RNAcentral's name for it is "uncharacterized LOC103309467, transcript variant X2". Lineage: Eukaryota; Metazoa; Arthropoda; Insecta; Hemiptera; Aphididae. The record is from RNAcentral.
AGAAGUAGGUACCUAUAAAUUUCAGCGGAAACAUUUUUUUUAUACUGUAGUAGGUAUCGACUUUUAUCUUCAAGAAAAAAAGGGUUUUCAAACUUAAUUUUAUAGCUGCAUGACACAAUUUUUAUAAUGUGUUUGCAAUUUCCACAAAAGUUAUUGAGAAUUUACAAUGCUUGACCUCCUGCAUACAUGUCAACUUCCCGAUCAAUAUAUAUACUAUAAAGAGAGCUCUAUACAAAUGACUGAUCCACUUUUGGUGCCCUAAAGAGGACUGGUUUGCAGGAACAAGAAAAACGAAUAAAAGACUAAUCACCUUUGGCCAAUAGCGCAAUACCAGUCGUAAUUCUAAGUAAAAAUAUAAUAAUAUUAUAAUGUUGUCAAGAAUGAGAUAACCAAAUUUCAGUGUCAGCGUAAAAUUACUUGCAAAACAAAAAUUGUUUCUUUAUAAAAAUCUGCUUAUUCCCUUUUAGUCCAUAAUAUUAACUUUGGACAUAAAUAAAUAAUAAUUGCGGGUAUCAUCCGAUAUCCGUAUCGCAUUAAUUGAAAAGCGUGUUUCAAGUAUACGAAUUUUAAAUAAAAUAUGAUAAAAAUAAUGAUACAACUGCAGUAUAGAUAGCCCUGCCAACUACAAAAACCAGGGAAUCGCGUAGCUCGUAUGAUAUAGGUAUAACUUUAGACCGCACGACGUAUAUUAUAGUUAACUUAAUAUUAUUAUGUCCCAUUAAACGAGAUACCUACAACUGCACACCGACUGUUAUGUUAUACACAUGCGAUCAUUGCGAUCUGCGUAGAGCUACAACACCGACCGAAUACGCUGUCACGGACAAUGGACGAGGAAUAAAAACACACACACGCGCACAUGGGAAUCCAGCACGGAAGUAACCCAUCACCUAACGUCAAUUACCAUCGAGUGAACUCCACCAGUGUUUCUCAUUUUUUUUAUUUUUUCGAUCGUCUAGCGGUGUAUCGCAAACGUCGUAACACAUCGUGCACGGAAAUAAUGUAUGGUUAUCACGCGGAUUCCGCCUAAGCGUCAACGCUGCGACACUCGGCGGAGGUGAAUAAUAUACGAACCCGUACUGUAUUAAAUCGCAAACUGCGUGUACCUACCGUGGUUGAAACCGAUAGGUACGAAUGCAUUCGUCUGGAAACGCAGGCUCUGCACUACACUCGUGCAAACUUACCUACCUAGAAACGAUCCACCGCGGCCGUAUAGAUGGACAUUUCACACUCAACAUCGAAAAUGUUUUAUAUUAAUAAAUCCACUACGAUCGUUACAAAACGGCUAUUCUCCUUAAUCCGCAUAAUAUACAAGCAUGUGAUUAACCCUGAUCGUCAGCCCGCAGUGUCAGCCACCACAGACUGACUGUUUACAAAUACAUUUAUGGCUACAUCCUGUAUGUAUUAUUCCAAUACGUCAUGAUGGUUUUACAAACUCGAAAAUCGUUUAAAUGUUAAUAAUAUAUUAUUGACUAAGACACAAAAUGUUUAAAAAAUAACAUUGCUGUCAUCAACGUGGCUUGUAAUAAUAAUAUAAUAUUCGU